AUGCUAAAACUCAGGCAAGAAGCUGCUCGCAGCCAGGUUGUUUGGAGGCAGCCAGGUUGGAAGGAUGGCUUUAGCCCCUGCUCUGAUCACAGCGGGAAUGGAGCCGCUACCCAGAGAUCGAUCAGAUACUCAGCAAUCACAGCAGCGCACCAGGAAACAUUACAGUCCCACUGCUCAGGCAAAAAUAAGGCACAGCAAAGGCCUCAUUCGGAGCCCAUGGAAGUUUCUGAAAACCUUUCCCACUGUCUUCCAAAGGCUUUGGACCUGGCCCUUGAUGAGGAUGAAUACAUGCUUUAGUUACCAUAUAUAUUCACAUUAGAAUAUAAAAACAAAACAAAAACACAAAGAUUAACAGCAUCUCAUUUUUAUACAUCUGCAUUAUUAUUAUUAUUUUAAAGCUUAAGGAUGUGCUUUUCCAUGCUACAAAAAUUCCUCUGGAGGAAAGGUAAAAUCUGUUCCACCUGCCUGGAGCCUGCCUGCUCGUGCUGUCCCUGCUGGAGCGCAAGGGGGCAAAGGGAGAGGAAACCCUCCCCACUGCGGCAGAGAAACGGCUGCUCCCUCAAACCUUUCGGACAGCUGCAUUCCCACCGUCAGCCCCUGCGUUGCUUAUUCUGGAAGGAUAUAUGAAUACACGCGUAAGGGCACUCCUGGAUCGGGGCCGGCUUGCUGGAACAGCAGUUGAAGCCCUCCCACGUGGGCUGUUUGGCCAAUGGGUCUGCGUAAACACAAGACUCCCUUCCCUGCCCUGCCUGUCCAGCCUUUCCCACUCAUCUGCCUGAGGCUGGAGCCAAGAUCUUCCCCUCCGCGCCACUGCUCUGCCCACAGUCUCUCUGCGGGCUCCUUCUGUAGGGUUUACGUGGUGCAGGAGGGUCUCUCUUUGGCCCUCUGCACCACUAGAAAACGUCACCCACAGUGACCAAAGGAUCUACUCUUCUUACUCAUGCAAGUAGGGACACCAAAGUGAGUGGGUCUACUUGCAGAAGCAGGGCAUCGGAAUUUGGCCCUGAGGACGGAUAUUUGCAAAUCAGUGUUUUUAUUCCUCCUGCCACUGUGCUUUAGUAACAAAGAUAAGGCCACUAGGAAGAAAGGCACAUGGAAUUCUGUAAAAAAUACACAAAAGGUUCAACUAAUUUGCAAAUUACUAACAAAACAAACAAAAAACCCCUGAACACAAAGACAGAGGGUAGAGACAGGGACCUCCUGGGUUUGUGACAUUGGGAGUUCAUUUUCUACUUUCAGUGUGAUUAACAUUUUACUUUUACAGUCUAUUGCUUGAAAAACUACAAAAAAGUAAAAUCUUGUCAGAAAUAACUAUGUUUACUUCCUGCUCAAACAAUAAAAAUAAAUUAAACAGCCA
Molecule: long non-coding RNA, 1357 nt
Filed under: Struthio camelus australis
Lineage: Eukaryota; Metazoa; Chordata; Aves; Struthioniformes; Struthionidae
Description: lncRNA (ENSSCUG00000008227.1)
Source: RNAcentral